This 209-nucleotide unclassified non-coding RNA is filed under the name Hevea brasiliensis (rubber tree). The record is from RNAcentral. Lineage: Eukaryota; Viridiplantae; Streptophyta; Magnoliopsida; Malpighiales; Euphorbiaceae.
GUGGACUUUUAACAUAGCCAAUGACACCCAUUCCAUUCAAUAUGGUAGCAUUGAACAUAACUGGCAUGGCACCUGCAUAGAGUGGUUGACGACAAAAGGGCCAGGAAUAAGGGCAAUCUGUAAAAUCAAGAACACUAGGGAAGAUGCUUGCCCGAGGUUGAUAGCUCUUCAGGAUCUCAUAUGACUCUAACAGAUCAACUCUUCCUGCA